UGCUUAGGAGAAACAGUGUUGCACUAUGC
This 29-nucleotide non-coding RNA is filed under the name Rattus norvegicus (Norway rat). Lineage: Eukaryota; Metazoa; Chordata; Mammalia; Rodentia; Muridae. The record is from RNAcentral.